CGGGGUGGAAUACCGCCUCCUGCAGGCUGCUUACCUGGCCAAGCCUGGGGACUCACUGGCCCAGGCCUUCAAUAUCACCAGCCAGGACGAUGUACUCUUUGCCAUCUUCUCCAAAGGGCAGAAGCAGUAUCACCACCCGCCCGAUGACUCUGCCCUGUGUGCCUUCCCUAUCCGGGCCAUCAACUUGCAGAUCAAGGAGCGCCUGCAGUCCUGCUACCAGGGCGAGGGCAACCUGGAGCUCAACUGGCUGCUGGGGAAGGACGUCCAGUGCACCAAGGCGCCUGUCCCCAUCGAUGAUAACUUCUGUGGACUGGACAUCAACCAGCCGCUGGGAGGCUCAACUCCAGUGGAGGGCCUGACCCUGUACACCACCAGCAGGGACCGCAUGACCUCUGUGGCCUCCUACGUUUACAACGGCUACAGCGUGGUUUUUGUGGGGACUAAGAGUGGCAAGCUGAAAAAGGUAAGAGUCUAUGAGUUCAGAUGCUCCAAUGCCAUUCACCUCCUCAGCAAAGAGUCCCUCUUGGAAGGUAGCUAUUGGUGGAGAUUUAACUACAGGCAACUUUAUUUUCUUGGGGAACAAAGGUGAAAUGGGGAGGUAAGAAGGGGUUAAUUUUGUGACUUAGCUUCUAGCUACUUCCUCCAGCCAUCAGUCAUUGGGUAUGUAAGGAAUGCAAGCAUAUUUCAAUAUUUCCCAAACUUUAAGAAAAAACUUUAAGAAGGUACAUCUGCAAAAGCAAAAAAAAAAAAAAAAAAAAAAAAAAAAAAAAAAAAAAA
This 777-nucleotide small RNA is filed under the name Pan troglodytes (chimpanzee). RNAcentral's name for it is "processed transcript". The record is from RNAcentral. Lineage: Eukaryota; Metazoa; Chordata; Mammalia; Primates; Hominidae.